Molecule: non-coding RNA, 175 nt
Filed under: Homo sapiens (human)
Lineage: Eukaryota; Metazoa; Chordata; Mammalia; Primates; Hominidae
Source: Rfam by way of RNAcentral
GCCAGGCAUUGUGGAGGGUGCCUGUAGUCCCAGCUAUUCGGGAGGCUGAGGCAGGAGAAUGGCGUGAACCCAGGAGGCUGGAGUGCACUGGCGCGAUUUUGGCUCACUGCGUGCAGUGCUCCAAGAUCGCGCCAGUGCACUCCAGCCUGGGCGACAGAGUGAGACUCCGUCUCAA